Molecule: ribosomal RNA, 670 nt
Filed under: Semicassis bulla
Lineage: Eukaryota; Metazoa; Mollusca; Gastropoda; Littorinimorpha; Cassidae
Description: eukaryotic LSU rRNA
Rfam family: Eukaryotic large subunit ribosomal RNA (bases 372-670)
Source: RNAcentral
GCGCCGCGCCUGCAGUCCGGGUCGGAGAUCUUGAACUGGACUCUCCCGGCGCAGGACGCGGCCCGACCGUGUGCACUUUCCGCGGGCAGAGCGCCACGACCGGUUCCCGGGCGGUCAGAAGGCGGCGGGGAUGGUAGGCGCGCGCUUCGGCUGCGCGCUGGUAUAGCCCCGCCUGUCCCGAUCCGCUCUUGGGGACCGAGGAGCCGCCGCCGGCGUCAAGGCCGCCUCGCCCUCCCGGGAUGCUUCGACCGGCAGAGACUGGGCAACCGUGUCUGCCGACCGCUUCCUCGGGACGGUCCAGGGGUGGGCCCGCCGGCACAGGGUCGGUGGCGAAUCGGUCGGCCCUCCACCCGACCCGUCUUGAAACACGGACCAAGGAGUCUAACAUGCGCGCGAGUCGUUGGGUCGUACGAAACCCGAAGGCGAAGUGAAAGCGAGGGCCGGUCUCUGACCGUGCUCAGGUGGGAUCCCGCUCCCCUUUUACCAGCGGGGUGGGCGCACCACCGGCCCGUCUCGUCCGCGUCGUCGGUGAGGCGGAGCAUGAGCGCGCACGUUGGGACCCGAAAGAUGGUGAACUAUGCCUGAGUAGGACGAAGCCAGAGGAAACUCUGGUGGAGGUCCGCAGCGAUUCUGACGUGCAAAUCGAUCGUCAAACUUGGGUAUAGGGGCG